This 457-nucleotide ribosomal RNA is filed under the name uncultured Thermoplasmatales archaeon. RNAcentral's name for it is "bacterial SSU rRNA". It matches the Rfam family "Archaeal small subunit ribosomal RNA", at positions 940 to 1393 of the family's 1478-position model. Lineage: Archaea; Methanobacteriati; Thermoplasmatota; Thermoplasmata; Thermoplasmatales. The record is from RNAcentral.
CGGAGGGAUGAAAGCCAAGGCUGAAGACCUUGACCCUCGGAUUCUCCGAGAGGUGGUGCAUGGCCGUCGUCAGUUCGUACCGUAAGGCGUUCUGUUAAGUCAGAUAACGAACGAGACCCUCGCCGUUAGUCGCGAUCUUACAAGCGAUUGUAGGAGCACACUAGCGGGAUCGCUGCCGUUAAGGCAGAGGAAGGAGAGGUCUACGGUAGGUCCGUAUGCCCCGAAUCUUCCGGGCAACACGCGCGCUACAAAGGUGGGGACAAUGGGACCCGACCUCGAAAGGGGGAGGCAAUCCUGAAACCCCAUCGUAGUCUGGAUCGAGGGCUGUAACUCGCCCUCGUGAAAAUGGAUUCCGUAGUAAUCGCGGGUCAACAUCCCGCGGUGAAUGUGCCCCUGCUCUUUGCACACACCGCCCGUCAACUCAUCCGAGUUGGGUCGGAGUGAGGGUGCCUCAUCC